GACGUAGGAGGCGAGCGUUGUCCGGAUUCAUUGGGCGUAAAGAGCGCGCAGGCGGCUUGGUAAGUCGGAUGUGAAAACCCGAGGCUCAACCUCGGGCGUGCAUCCGAAACUGCUCGGCUAGAGGUAGGUAGGGGAGAUCGGAAUUCCUGGUGUAGCGGUGAAAUGCGCAGAUAUCAGGAGGAACACCGGUGGCGAAGGCGGAUCUCUGGGCCUUACCUGACGCUCAGGCGCGAAAGCGUGGGGAGCGAACAGG
RNAcentral lists this ribosomal RNA (253 nucleotides) under uncultured bacterium. RNAcentral describes it as "partial 16S ribosomal RNA". It matches the Rfam family "Bacterial small subunit ribosomal RNA", at positions 524 to 776 of the family's 1533-position model. The record is from RNAcentral.